ACAGCAAGCCAUUCUAUCGCGCUUUGCUACGGCAAAGUGAGGAAAGUCCGGGCAGCAAAGGGCACUGUGCUUCCUAACCGAAAGAUCUCCGUGAGGGGAUGAAAGUGCAGAAGAAAAUAACCGCCCCGAUUCGUCGGGGUAAGGGUGAGAAGGUGAGGUAAGAGCUCACCAGGGCUGUAGGCAACUACAGUUGCUGUGCACUCCGCAGGCUGUAAAACCAUGUAAACCAACGCCCGAGGGCGGCCCGCCCGAUGUUGGAGGGUAGGUUGCUAGAGAUUGUCAGCGAUGGCAAUCCCAGAUAAAUGAUAGAAACUCCUGCUCUGCAGGAUGACAGAACCCGGCUUACAGGCUUGCUGUUUAG
Molecule: RNase P RNA, 361 nt
Filed under: Salinivirga cyanobacteriivorans
Lineage: Bacteria; Pseudomonadati; Bacteroidota; Bacteroidia; Bacteroidales; Salinivirgaceae
Description: Bacterial RNase P class A
Rfam family: Bacterial RNase P class A
About the family: Ribonuclease P (RNase P) is a ubiquitous endoribonuclease, found in archaea, bacteria and eukarya as well as chloroplasts and mitochondria.
Source: Rfam by way of RNAcentral